Molecule: non-coding RNA, 24 nt
Filed under: Arabidopsis thaliana (thale cress)
Lineage: Eukaryota; Viridiplantae; Streptophyta; Magnoliopsida; Brassicales; Brassicaceae
Source: RNAcentral
AGGUUCUGGGCUGAAGCGCGUAAU